ACGGGGUGCAGCAGGCGCGAAAACUUUGCAAUGUGCGAAAGCACGACAAGGUUAAUCCGAGUGGUUUGUGCUAAACAGACCUUUUGUUAGUCCUAGAAACACUAACGAAUAAGGGGUGGGCAAGUUCUGGUGUCAGCCGCCGCGGUAAAACCAGCACCUCAAGUGGUCAGGAUGAUUAUUGGGCCUAAAGCAUCCGUAGCCGGCUCUGUAAGUUUUCGGUUAAAUCUGUAUGCUCAACAUACAGGCUGCCGGGAAUACUGCAGAGCUAGGGAGUGGGAGAGGUAGACGGUACUCGGUAGGAAGGGGUAAAAUCCUUUGAUCUAUUGAUGACCACCUGUGGCGAAGGCGGUCUACCAGAACACGUCCGACGGUGAGGGAUGAAAGCUGGGGGAGCAAUCCGGAUUAGAUACCCGGGUAGUCCCAGCUGUAAACUAUGCAAACUCAGUGAUGCAUUGGCUUGUGGCCAAUGCAGUGCUGCAGGGAAGCCGUUAAGUUUGCCGCCUGGAAGUACGUACGCAAGUA
RNAcentral lists this ribosomal RNA (522 nucleotides) under uncultured archaeon. RNAcentral's name for it is "bacterial SSU rRNA". It matches the Rfam family "Archaeal small subunit ribosomal RNA", at positions 325 to 849 of the family's 1478-position model. The record is from RNAcentral.